GUCUAUAAGCAACGGAUAUCUCGGCUCUCGCAUCGAUGAAGAACCUUGCAAAAUGCGAUACUUGGUGUGAAUUGCAUUAUCCCGUGAACCAUCGAGACUUUGAACGCAAGUUGCGCCCCAAGCCUUCUGGCUGAGGGAACGUUUGCCUGGGUAUCA
This is a ribosomal RNA of Arabis alpina (gray rockcress), 156 nucleotides long. It matches the Rfam family "5.8S ribosomal RNA". From Rfam's summary of the family: 5.8S ribosomal RNA (5.8S rRNA) is a component of the large subunit of the eukaryotic ribosome. It is transcribed by RNA polymerase I as part of the 45S precursor that also contains 18S and 28S rRNA. Functionally, it is thought that 5.8S rRNA may be involved in ribosome translocation. The record is from Rfam. Lineage: Eukaryota; Viridiplantae; Streptophyta; Magnoliopsida; Brassicales; Brassicaceae.